UGGGGGAUAUUGCACAAUGGGCGAAAGCCUGGUGCAGCGACGCCGCGUGGGGGAUGAAGGCCUUCGGGUUGUAAACUUCUUUUGCUCUGAACAAGGCGCACCAUGGGGUGUGUUGAGUGUAGGGGUUGAUUAGCGCCGGCUAACUACGUGCCAGCAGCCGCGGUAAUACGUAGGGCGCGAGCGUUGUCCGGAAUUAUUGGGCGUAAAGGGCUUGUAGGUGGCUGGUUGCGUCUGUCGUGAAAGCUCAUGGCUUAACUGUGGGUUUGCGGUGGGUACGGGCUGGCUUGAGUGCAGUAGGGGAGGCUGGAAUUCCUGGUGUAGCGGUGGAAUGCGCAGAUAUCAGGAGGAAUACCGGUGGCGAAGGCGGGUCUCUGGGCUGUUACUGACACUGAGGAGCGAAAGCAUGGGGAGCGAACAGG
Molecule: ribosomal RNA, 419 nt
Filed under: bacterium
Lineage: Bacteria
Description: partial 16S ribosomal RNA
Rfam family: Bacterial small subunit ribosomal RNA
Source: RNAcentral